CAAACAAAAACAAAAGGUAAUACAUGAUGGUGGGUUAGGUAAUGGGUAGUGGGUGCAGGUUUGAAAAGAAAACUUUGCAGCUCCUACUUUUCAAUCUGUUGAAAGCAAGUAAAUUGGCGGGAAAUCAAAUUCUUAAAGUGGUAUCUCAUCUCUCUUUCAGAUAGGAAUCAAUGAUUAAAUGCAGUCCAAAAUAAGUUCCUUCUUCAAGCCAUCGUCAUCGUCUUCUUCUAUAAAAUCUGACCAGUGCCUGCCUUUGAGUUUAGAGGACGAUGACCAUGAAUUGGCACUUUGGGAGAAUGCUGAGCACCAGUUUGUCAAUACUUACAAGCGUAGAGCUCCAAAAUCACAUGAUGGGGAUAAGAGCGUUGAAGCCAAUAGAAGACCAGUAAGUGAUGUAUUGACAAUACCCAUUUUGAAGGAUCCAUGUAUGAAACCAGAAUCGAUGAGUUCUGGGAAAGUGCUCAACAAGAAGAGUUACGCACAGUUGCAUUUGGACUUGGGUCAAUCUGAU
RNAcentral lists this unclassified non-coding RNA (511 nucleotides) under Hevea brasiliensis (rubber tree). The record is from RNAcentral. Lineage: Eukaryota; Viridiplantae; Streptophyta; Magnoliopsida; Malpighiales; Euphorbiaceae.